GUUAAAUUUCCCAGCGGACUAAUGAUAAAAGUUACGCGAAUUGCCCCGUUCCAAGGGAGGGGAGAGCCGACGGGACUCCAUAGGCGGCAGGACAUUGCGGCCCCGUCUUGGUAGUAUAUGUAUGUACAUACCGUUAAAUACAUUGCGGCAUUCAAGUUAAUUUACCACAAACAGCUGCCCGAAAGGAAAUAAAGUAA
Molecule: long non-coding RNA, 197 nt
Organism: Drosophila innubila
Lineage: Eukaryota; Metazoa; Arthropoda; Insecta; Diptera; Drosophilidae
Exons: 2
Source: RefSeq, a predicted model, not a curated record